GAUGAACGCUAGCUAUAGGCUUAACACAUGCAAGUCGAGGGACCGGCGCACGGGUGAGUAACGCGUAUCCAACCUACCCAUAACUAAGGGAUAACCCAGCGAAAGUUGGACUAAUACCUUAUGGUUAUGGAUGGGGAUGCGUCUGAUUAGCUUGUUGGCGGGGUAACGGCCCACCAAGGCAACGAUCAGUAGGGGUGCUGAGAGGAAGGCCCCCCAGAUUGGAAAUGAGACACGGUCCAAACACGUACGGGAGGCGGCAGUGAGGAAUAGUAGUCAAUGGAGGCAAGUCUGAACCAGCCAAGUAGCGUGAAGGAUGCUGGCCUAUGGAAUGUAAACUGCUUUGAUAUGAGGAUAGGUACCAUAUGAAUAAGGACCGGCUAAUUCCGUGCCAGCAGCCGCGGUAAUAC
RNAcentral lists this ribosomal RNA (407 nucleotides) under uncultured bacterium. RNAcentral's name for it is "partial 16S ribosomal RNA". It matches the Rfam family "Bacterial small subunit ribosomal RNA", at positions 28 to 526 of the family's 1533-position model. The record is from RNAcentral.